RNAcentral lists this ribosomal RNA (497 nucleotides) under uncultured bacterium. RNAcentral describes it as "partial 16S ribosomal RNA". It matches the Rfam family "Bacterial small subunit ribosomal RNA", at positions 28 to 507 of the family's 1533-position model. The record is from RNAcentral.
GAUGAACGCUGGCGGCGUGCCUAAUACAUGCAAGUCGAGCGGACGGACGCGAAGCUUGUGUCUCUGAUGUUAGCGGCGGACGGGAGAGUCACACGUGUAAAACCUCCCUGUAAUACUGGGAUAACUUCGGGAAACCGUAGCUAAUACCGGAUAAUAUUUUGAAGCGCAUGGGUGAAAAGUGAAAGACGGUCUUUCUGUCACUUAUCGAUGGAUACGCGCUGGAUUGGCUAGUUGGUAAGGUAAAGGGUUUCCAAGGCAGCGAUGCGUAGCCGACGGCAGAGGGUGGUCGGCCACAUGGGAACGUGACCACGCACCAUGCGCCUACGGGAGGGAGCAGUAGGGAAUCUUCGGCAAUGGGCGAAAGCCUGACGGAGCAGCGCCGAGUGAGUGAUGAAGGUCUCCGGUUCGGAAAACUCUGUUAUGAGUUAUGAACAUAUGUGGAAGGAGAUGUGGACAGAGUGACGGUACCUAAUAAAAAAGCAACGGCUAACUACGUG